UGCGUAGGCGGUUUGGUAAGUCUGAUGUGAAAUCUAUGGGCUCAACUCAUAGUCUGCAUCGGAAACUGCCGGGCUUGAGUGUGGGAGAGGUGAGUGGAAUUCCUGGUGUAGCGGUGAAAUGCGUAGAUAUCAGGAGGAACACCUGUGGCGAAAGCGGCUCACUGGACCACAACUGACGCUGAUGCACGAAAGCUAGGGGAGCAAACA
RNAcentral lists this ribosomal RNA (207 nucleotides) under uncultured bacterium. RNAcentral's name for it is "partial 16S ribosomal RNA". It matches the Rfam family "Bacterial small subunit ribosomal RNA", at positions 568 to 774 of the family's 1533-position model. The record is from RNAcentral.